This 687-nucleotide ribosomal RNA is filed under the name Drosera binata. RNAcentral describes it as "eukaryotic LSU rRNA". The stretch from base 310 to 466 matches the Rfam family "5.8S ribosomal RNA". Lineage: Eukaryota; Viridiplantae; Streptophyta; Magnoliopsida; Caryophyllales; Droseraceae. The record is from RNAcentral.
GAGUCGUAACAAGGUUCCGUAGGUGAACUGCGGAAGGAUCAUUGUCGAAGCCCCUGGUAUGACUCGCGAACUUGUAAACUAAAAUGAAAGGGGGGAAGCCUUCUCCCCCCUUGCUGCGGGGCUGUACCCGUUGUCGGCUCGGCAUCUCCAUAUGCGGGAUGUCCGCCGUAUGACGGUUUCAUGCCCCGCUAAACAACCAAACCCGGGCGCAGGCUGCGCCAAGGAAAACGGAAGCAAUAGGCUUGCCCUCUCCCCACACGUUUGUUUCGGCAGCGGGGGGGAUGGUGAUGCCGUCAUCGGCAUAAAGAUGACUCUCGGCAACGGAUAUCUCGGCUCUCGCAUCGAUGAAGAACGUAGCGAAAUGCGAUACUUGGUGUGAAUUGCAGAAUCCCGUGAACCAUCGAGUCUUUGAACGCAAGUUGCGCCCGAGGCCACUAAGGUCGAGGGCACGUCUGUCUGGGCGUCGCACACAGCGUCACCUGCCAACGGUCCUCCUCGAGAGGCAGGUGGAUUAUGGCCUCCCGUGCCUCGGUGCAAGGCGCGGUUGGCCCAAAUGGGAAGCUGGGGCGAUGGAUGCCGUGGCAGUGGGUGGUUAGCGAGUCCUGAACGGCAAGCGGUUACGACGACUUGUCACGGUCCCGUUGCCAACCUUGCUUGGUUUGACCCUGACAUGCCGUGCACAGCGGC